GGGAACUCUGAACCAGCCAUGCCGCGUGAAGGAUGACGGCCCUCUGGGUUGUAAACUUCUUUUGGAUGGGGCGAAAAAACGGGAUUUAUCCUGGACUGACGGUACCAUCAGAAUAAGCACCGGCUAACUCCGUGCCAGCAGCCGCGGUAAUACGGAGGGUGCAAGCGUUAUCCGGAAUCACUGGGUUUAAAGGGUGCGUAGGCGGUCGUAUAAGUCAGGGGUGAAAUCAUGCAGCUUAACUGCAUAAUUGCCUUUGAUACUGUAUGACUUGAAUAAGGUUGAGGUUGGCGGAAUGUGACAUGUAGCGGUGAAAUGCUUAGAUAUGUCAUAGAACACCGAUUGCGAAGGCAGCUGACUGAGCCUUUAUUGACGCUGAGGCACGAAAGCGUGGGUAGCGAACAGGAUUAGAUACCCUGGUAGUCCACGCCCUAAACGAUGUAUACUCGUUGUUUGGAAUUUAAUUUUGAGCGACCGAGCGAAAGCAUUAAGUAUACCACCUGGGGAGUACGCCCGCA
RNAcentral lists this ribosomal RNA (515 nucleotides) under uncultured bacterium. Its description in RNAcentral is "bacterial SSU rRNA". It matches the Rfam family "Bacterial small subunit ribosomal RNA", at positions 376 to 890 of the family's 1533-position model. The record is from RNAcentral.